Molecule: ribosomal RNA, 500 nt
Filed under: uncultured bacterium
Lineage: Bacteria
Description: partial 16S ribosomal RNA
Rfam family: Bacterial small subunit ribosomal RNA
Source: RNAcentral
AUUGAACGCUGGCGGCAUGCUUUACACAUGCAGGUCGAACGGUAACAGGGUGCUUGCGCCGCUGACGAGUGGCGAACGGGUGAGUAAUGCGUCGGAACGUGCCGAGUAGUGGGGGAUAACGCAGCGAAAGUUGUGCUAAUACCGCAUACGUACUGAGGUAGAAAGUGGGGGACCUUCGGGCCUCACGCUAUUCGAGCGGCCGACGUCUGAUUAGCUAGUAGGUGAGGUAAAGGCUCACCUUGGCGACGAUCAGUAGCGGGUCUGAGAGGAUGAUCCGCCAAGCUGGGAAGGAGACACGGCCAAGACUCCGACGGGAGGCAGCAGUGGGGAAUUUUGGCCAAUGGGCGAAAGCCUGAUCCAGCCAUGCCGCGUGUCUGAAGAAGGCCUUCGGGUUGUAAAGGACUUUUGUCAGGGAGGAAAUCCCUAGUGCUAAUAACACUGGGGGAUGACAGUACCUGAAGAAUAAGCACCGGCUAACUACGUGCCAGCCGCCGCAGUAA